Molecule: ribosomal RNA, 1228 nt
Filed under: Leuconostoc mesenteroides
Lineage: Bacteria; Bacillati; Bacillota; Bacilli; Lactobacillales; Lactobacillaceae
Description: bacterial SSU rRNA
Rfam family: Bacterial small subunit ribosomal RNA
Source: RNAcentral
GGCUGGGGAUAACAUUUGGAAACAGAUGCUAAUACCGAAUAAAACUUAGUGUCGCAUGACACAAAGUUAAAAGGCGCUUCGGCGUCACCUAGAGAUGGAUCCGCGGUGCAUUAGUUAGUUGGUGGGGUAAAGGCCUACCAAGACAAUGAUGCAUAGCCGAGUUGAGAGACUGAUCGGCCACAUUGGGACUGAGACACGGCCCAAACUCCUACGGGAGGCUGCAGUAGGGAAUCUUCCACAAUGGGCGAAAGCCUGAUGGAGCAACGCCGCGUGUGUGAUGAAGGCUUUCGGGUCGUAAAGCACUGUUGUAUGGGAAGAACAGCUAGAAUAGGAAAUGAUUUUAGUUUGACGGUACCAUACCAGAAAGGGACGGCUAAAUACGUGCCAGCAGCCGCGGUAAUACGUAUGUCCCGAGCGUUAUCCGGAUUUAUUGGGCGUAAAGCGAGCGCAGACGGUUUAUUAAGUCUGAUGUGAAAGCCCGGAGCUCAACUCCGGAAUGGCAUUGGAAACUGGUUAACUUGAGUGCAGUAGAGGUAAGUGGAACUCCAUGUGUAGCGGUGGAAUGCGUAGAUAUAUGGAAGAACACCAGUGGCGAAGGCGGCUUACUGGACUGCAACUGACGUUGAGGCUCGAAAGUGUGGGUAGCAAACAGGAUUAGAUACCCUGGUAGUCCACACCGUAAACGAUGAACACUAGGUGUUAGGAGGUUUCCGCCUCUUAGUGCCGAAGCUAACGCAUUAAGUGUUCCGCCUGGGGAGUACGACCGCAAGGUUGAAACUCAAAGGAAUUGACGGGGACCCGCACAAGCGGUGGAGCAUGUGGUUUAAUUCGAAGCAACGCGAAGAACCUUACCAGGUCUUGACAUCCUUUGAAGCUUUUAGAGAUAGAAGUGUUCUCUUCGGAGACAAAGUGACAGGUGGUGCAUGGUCGUCGUCAGCUCGUGUCGUGAGAUGUUGGGUUAAGUCCCGCAACGAGCGCAACCCUUAUUGUUAGUUGCCAGCAUUCAGAUGGGCACUCUAGCGAGACUGCCGGUGACAAACCGGAGGAAGGCGGGGACGACGUCAGAUCAUCAUGCCCCUUAUGACCUGGGCUACACACGUGCUACAAUGGCGUAUACAACGAGUUGCCAACCCGCGAGGGUGAGCUAAUCUCUUAAAGUACGUCUCAGUUCGGAUUGUAGUCUGCAACUCGACUACAUGAAGUCGGAAUCGCUAGUAAUCGCGGAUCA